This 1241-nucleotide ribosomal RNA is filed under the name metagenome. Its description in RNAcentral is "bacterial LSU rRNA". It matches the Rfam family "Bacterial large subunit ribosomal RNA", at positions 1564 to 2815 of the family's 2925-position model. The record is from RNAcentral.
UGAAUACGAGACGCUAAGGCGUCGAGGUAGUGUAUGUCAUACUUCCAAGAAAAGCUUGCACUGUCAUAGAUAAAAAACGCCUGUACCAUAACCGACACAGGUGGGUAGGUAGAGUAUACUAAGGGGCGCGAGAUAACUCUCUCUAAGGAACUCGGCAAAAUAACUCCGUAACUUCGGGAGAAGGAGUGCCUUAUUCGUAAGGUUGCAAUAACAAGAUCCAAGCAACUGUUUAUCAAAAGCACAGGUCUCCGCUAAGUCGUAAGACGAUGUAUGGGGGCUGACGCCUGCCCAGUGCCGGAAGGUUAAAGAAGUUGGUUAGCAAUUGCGAAGCUGAUAACUGAAGCCCUGGUGAACGGCGGCCGUAACAAUAACGGUCCUAAGGUAGCGAAAUUCCUUGUCGGGUAAGUUCCGACCCGCACGAAAGGCGUAAUGAUUUGGAUACUGUCUCGGAGAGGGGCUCGGUGAAAUAGACUUGUCUGUGAAGAUGCGGACUACCUGCACCAGGACAGAAAGACCCUAUGAAGCUUUACUGUAACUUGAAAUUGAAAUUGGACUUUAUUCGCGCAGUAUAGGUGGGAGGCGUUGAUUAUAAUCUUGUGGGAUUAUUGGAGCCAUCAGUGAGAUACCACUCUUGUAAUGUUAGGUUUCUAACUUUGAAUCAUUAUCUGGUCAAAGAACAGUUUCAGGCGGGCAGUUUGACUGGGGCGGUCGCCUCCUAGACGGUAACGGAGGCGUACAAAGGUUUCCUCUGAACGGUUAGAAAUCGUAUCUAGAGUGUAAAGGCAUAAGGAAGCUUGACUGUGAGACCUACAAGUCGAGCAGGGACGAAAGUCGGUCUUAGUGAUCUGACGGUACUGAGUGGAAAGGCCGUCACUCAACGGAUAAAAGUUACUCUAGGAUAACAGGCUGAUCUCCCCCAAGAGUUCACAUCGACGGGGAGGUUUGGCACCUCGAUGUCGGCUCAUCGCAUCCUGGGGCGGUAGUACGUCCCAAGGGUUGGGCUGUUCGCCCAUGAAAGCGGUACGCGAGCUGGGUUCAGAACGUCGUGAGACAGUUCGGUCCAUAUCCGGUGUAGGCGUUAGAAUAUUGAGAGGAGCCUUCUUUAGUACGAGAGGACCGAGAAGGACAUACCUCUGGUGUACCAGUUAUCGUGCCAACGGUAAACGCUGGGUAGCUAUGUAUGGAGUGGAUAACCGCUGAAAGCAUCUAAGUGGGAAGCCCACCUCAAGAUAAGUAUUCGC